AAAUUGAAAUCUCUUCUUCAUUUAAUUGCUUAAGUUUUUUGUUUUGCUUUGUUUUAGAAAGGCCUCUCUUUCUUUCGUCUUAGAAUUUUCGCAAUUUCUGCUGCUGCUUAUGCUUGACUUCAUUUUAGAUUUUUCAUUUGGUAUCAUAAGAACCAAAGGGUCUCAUCUAAAUGGAAUUGAAUGGCAAUCCUAUUUUAUUACUUAGUGGCGGGUUCUCCAGAUCUGACUUCCUAAUCUACUUGACAUGAUGUAGAAAGAAUAUGAGUAUUUACACCUCUCCAAACAUUUGUAUUUAUUAUUUCUGUAUGUUGCUAAGCUAGCUCCUGCAUUUGUGCCUUGUUUAUACCAAUUUACAAAUGUUUUUAAAGCGUAAUGUCUGUUUUUAAAACUUUAUCCAAAGAAGAAAGAAUAAGUCACUUUUUCAGAGUUAGGAGCCAUCAGAAAUAAUGGAAGUUUUCCAUAUAUUUUAGUCCUUCUGUGUGGGAGCCCAAGAGCUCCAUCUCCACAGCUUCCAUGUGCCUCCAGCCAGGUCCUCCCAUCAAAGUAAAUGGAAGCAGAAAAUGCUUUAGUGAAACAAAGGAAAUGUGCAAGCAUUUUUUUCUUUUUCUAUUUUCCUACUUCCCCCUUUUCCUUCUGGUUCCCUUAUAACCUGAACCUCAGAUGAAGGACUGCAACAACACCAGGAUGGAGAGCAGGUCACCAGGAUCAAAGCGCAAUCAAGAUGACAUCAGUCCCUGGAACUGGGUUUCAACUCACCAGCCCCCCUGGCCUCAUAACAGGAACUCGUGCAGGUGGCCGGUGACCAGAUGACCAGAUGACCAGGAUCUAAU
Molecule: long non-coding RNA, 830 nt
Filed under: Ursus americanus (American black bear)
Lineage: Eukaryota; Metazoa; Chordata; Mammalia; Carnivora; Ursidae
Description: lncRNA (ENSUAMG00000013099.1)
Source: RNAcentral